AUUGAACGCUGGCGGCAUGCUUUACACAUGCAAGUCGAACGGUAACAGGUUAAGCUGACGAGUGGCGAACGGGUGAGUAAUGCAUCGGAACGUGCCCGGUCGUGGGGGAUAACACAGCGAACGCUGGGCUAAUACCGCAUACGAUCUGAGGAUGAAAGCGGGGGACCGUAAGGCCUCGCGCGAUCGGAGCGGCCGACGUCAGAUUAGGUAGUUGGUGGGGUAAAGGCUCACCAAGCCAACGAUCUGUAGCUGGUCUGAGAGGACGACCAGCCACACUGGGACUGAGACACGGCCCAGACUCCUACGGGAGGCAGCAGUGGGGAAUUUUGGGCAAUGGGCGAAAGCCUGAUCCAGCAACGCCGCGUGCAGGAAGAAGGCCUUCGGGUUGUAAACUGCUUUUGUACGGAGCGAAAAGGUCUCCUCUAAUACAGGGGGCUCAUGACGGUACCGUAAGAAUAAGCACCGGCUAACUACGUGCCAGCAGCCGCGGUAA
RNAcentral lists this ribosomal RNA (493 nucleotides) under uncultured bacterium. RNAcentral describes it as "partial 16S ribosomal RNA". It matches the Rfam family "Bacterial small subunit ribosomal RNA", at positions 29 to 523 of the family's 1533-position model. The record is from RNAcentral.